Long non-coding RNA from Gossypium raimondii (Peruvian cotton), 765 nucleotides. RefSeq lists it as uncharacterized. NCBI's taxonomy places the organism in Eukaryota, Viridiplantae, Streptophyta, Magnoliopsida, Malvales, Malvaceae. The record is from RefSeq and is a predicted model, not a curated record. The transcript has 3 exons.
AAAUGAGCUUGCUCUAUAAGCAUCCAAGCCACCAGCCAAAACAAUUAACUCGACGCAACUCCUGAGGACCAACAACUAGAUAGAAAUCCCUCAUUAAUUAAUCUUUUCUUUUUCCAGAUUCUUGAAAACCUUCCAUCUUCCAUUGCUACUCUCCUCUCUAGAUGCUCUUUCUCCCCCAGGUUGCCAAAUCUAAGCGAAGAACUUAGUCCAUCAGCAUUAUCCCUUUACGAUAUCACUUUCCACCUCUUCUUUAGCAUAUUCAGAAAUCCCAUUUCUCAUCAAGCUUUGAUCCCCUUUCGUCAAACCUUCUGCAGUCAGCAAAUGAGCAACAGCAUUCAUCAAUCAGUUGCCAUGUUUGAACUGACAGUAUUUUGACAAGAAAAAGGCAUCGCCUUCAACUUCGAUUGCCGUAAACCCCAGAUCCAGACCCAAUUGAAUACCCUGAAUGAAUGCAAGGGCCUCCGCCAAAAACACCGAAGAGCACUUAGGAGCAAAAUGAGUGAAAAAUGAGUGAAAAUCGAAGCACCAGAGCAAGCUAUAUGAGCCACACGGGCUGGACCAUUCCACAAGGCCUGGCCACAAAGCAAUGUGACCCACACGAGCAUGUAAUAGGUCAUGAUGAUUUCACUAGAUUUCACACUGAACUUCAGAAAAUCAUGAUUUUUAGGUUUUUCAGGCAUUCUAAGACGUAUAUAUGACAAAAAUAAGAAUAUAUGAGUGAUCUGCCUUAGGAUAUAAAAGAAAACAACCCAAAAAACACCAUAA